GGCGCCGUGGCUUAGUGGCUAAAGCGCCUGUCUCGUAAACAAGAGAUCCUGGGUUCAAAUCCCAGCGGUGCCG
This 73-nucleotide transfer RNA is filed under the name Callorhinchus milii (elephant shark). RNAcentral describes it as "tRNA-Thr (CGT) (tRNA-Thr-CGT-4-1)". It matches the Rfam family "tRNA". From Rfam's summary of the family: Transfer RNA (tRNA) molecules are approximately 80 nucleotides in length. Their secondary structure includes four short double-helical elements and three loops (D, anti-codon, and T loops). The record is from Rfam by way of RNAcentral. Lineage: Eukaryota; Metazoa; Chordata; Chondrichthyes; Chimaeriformes; Callorhinchidae.